RNAcentral lists this long non-coding RNA (305 nucleotides) under Mytilus galloprovincialis (Mediterranean mussel). The record is from RNAcentral. Lineage: Eukaryota; Metazoa; Mollusca; Bivalvia; Mytilida; Mytilidae.
UUUUUUUUCAGUUUUCCAUGUUUCCCACCAAAGUUUGAAUGCAUUCUUAAAUUCUUCAAUUUUAUUGUAUUUAUAUUCAUUAUCCAUAUACCCGGGCCUCUUUGUAUUUCAUCAAGUUUUAAUUUUACCGACACAAGAUCAUAAUCGCUAAAAGGACAAUUCGAGAUACCAACAUUGUAAACUUUAUUUGAAAGACUUUUAUCACAAAAGAUAUAGUCGAUUCUAGACUUAGAAUUUCCUCUCUGAAACGUAUACCGUUUGUCUUUUGGAUACCUAUCCCUCCAUAUGUCUGUAAGAUCAUAUUG